RNAcentral lists this small RNA (551 nucleotides) under Oryza sativa Japonica Group (Japanese rice). RNAcentral describes it as "sRNA Os12g0554300". The stretch from base 223 to 321 matches the Rfam family "Small nucleolar RNA Z159/U59". The record is from RNAcentral. Lineage: Eukaryota; Viridiplantae; Streptophyta; Magnoliopsida; Poales; Poaceae.
UAUCUGCCAAGAUUCGAUUUUUGAUUGAUUAGUUCAGCCCCUGCUGCUCCCAGUGACUGCUGCAUGUUUUAAAGUUUCAGCCUUGUCUGAAGAAUUACCAAUCUGUUGAUGAUACCCAUACACAUGUUCUGAGGGAGAUUUUGGGACAAUUUUGAAUUAAUUAGUUUCUUUUUUUCUAUUCUGAUGUUUCUGAAUUUGCAAGAUUGUUUUUGGUUAGUGUUCGUCUCUGAUGAUGAUUAAAAAUGAUUAACUUUCGUUCUUCUGAUGCGCUUUUCUCAUGGCGCGGUGCGGAAGCAAUCUGGAGACCUGAACUGAGGAGACAAAUCGAUUAGGUUUCUUUUCAAGUUAUUUUUGGCAGCGCAGAUAUGUUUUUGUUUUUUUUUUGUUGCUUCACGACUGGAAGAAUGGCCGAUGAUAUUGGUUUGGUCAUCCUGUAGAGAGAAGCAUAGAUUGAAUUUGGACCAGAAUUAAACAGCAUGGCGCUUACUAACCCGCGUCAAUGUUACCUGUCUCCUGGCACAUUUUGAUUUAUAAAAUCGAUUUGAAUUUUU